RNAcentral lists this transfer RNA (70 nucleotides) under Hypselodoris apolegma. RNAcentral's name for it is "tRNA-Lys". Lineage: Eukaryota; Metazoa; Mollusca; Gastropoda; Nudibranchia; Chromodorididae. The record is from RNAcentral.
UUGUUCUGAAGGAUAAUUAUUCCUCUAAAAAGAUCAAAAAUCUUUCACCUUAUUCUCGGUCAUCAAAACA